GAUGAACGCUGGCGGCGUGCCUAAUACAUGCAAGUCGAGCGAACAGACGAGGAGCUUGCUCCUCUGACGUUAGCGGCGGACGGGUGAGUAACACGUGGAUAACCUACCUAUAAGACUGGGAUAACUUCGGGAAACCGGAGCUAAUACCGGAUAACAUGUUGAACCGCAUGGUUCAACAGUGAAAGACGGUCUUGCUGUCACUUAUAGAUGGAUCCGCGCCGCAUUAGCUAGUUGGUAAGGUAACGGCUUACCAAGGCAACGAUGCGUAGCCGACCUGAGAGGGUGAUCGGCCACACUGGAACUGAGACACGGUCCAGACUCCUACGGGAGGCAGCAGUAGGGAAUCUUCCGCAUUGGGCGAAAGCCUGACGGAGCAACGCCGCGUGAGUGAAGAAGGUCUUCGGAUCGUAAAACUCUGUUAUUAGGGAAGAACAAAUGUGUAAGUAACUAUGCACGUCUUGACGGUACCUAAUCAGAAAGCCACGGCUAACUACGUG
This 497-nucleotide ribosomal RNA is filed under the name uncultured bacterium. RNAcentral describes it as "partial 16S ribosomal RNA". It matches the Rfam family "Bacterial small subunit ribosomal RNA", at positions 28 to 507 of the family's 1533-position model. The record is from RNAcentral.